RNAcentral lists this ribosomal RNA (468 nucleotides) under uncultured bacterium. Its description in RNAcentral is "partial 16S ribosomal RNA". It matches the Rfam family "Bacterial small subunit ribosomal RNA", at positions 28 to 507 of the family's 1533-position model. The record is from RNAcentral.
GACGAACGCUGGCGGCGUGCUUAACACAUGCAAGUCGAACGGAAAGGCCCUGCUUGUGUGGGGUGCUCGAGUGGCGAACGGGUGAGUAACCCGUGAGUAACCUGCCCUUGACUGUGGGAUAACUUCAGGAAACUGGGGCUAAUACCGGAUAGGAGCUCCUGCUGCAGGGUGGGGGUUGGACAGUUUCGGCGGUUGGGGAUGGACUCGCGGCUUAUCAGCUUGUUGGUGGGGGAGUGGCUUACCAAGGCUUUGGCGGGUAGCCGGCCUGAGAGGGUGACCGGCCACCUGGGGACUGCGAUACGGACCAGACUGCAACGGUGGGCAGCAGGGGGGAAUAUUGCCCAAUGGGCGGAAGCCUGAGGAAGCAACGCCGCGUGCGGGAUGACGGCCUUCGGGUUGGAAACCGCUUUCGCCUGUGACGAAGCGUUAGUGACGGUAAUGGGUAAAGAAGCACCGGCUAACUACGUG